Molecule: long non-coding RNA, 763 nt
Filed under: Felis catus (domestic cat)
Lineage: Eukaryota; Metazoa; Chordata; Mammalia; Carnivora; Felidae
Description: lncRNA (ENSFCAG00000044119.2)
Source: RNAcentral
AACACUGCUUCCUCCUAGUGUCAGGAAACGGACUUCGCUGCGAGCUCAGCCCCUCGCUGCGCACGCGCGGCUGCAGGCCGAGGCGUUUGUGACGGUCGCGUGGGUCACAUUUCUCGUCAGCGCGGGCCAGGUUGAGACCUCCCGAGGGACUCUGUGCUGGAGGCACCGCGAGUAGUCCUGGGAAAGGCCAUAAAGGAGUCAGAAAGAACGGUUCUUUGCACAGUUAGGGUUGAGGCAAAUAAAAAUUACUGGCUCCCACACUUAACUGCUUAGCUUGAACAAACCCAAGACUCGUUUACUGAAGCAUUCAACAUGUCCUCUGUCAAUAGAGCAGUUUCAGGUGUGCACUUCAACAAUCCUAUACAUUACUCAAUGCUCAUCAAGAUAAGUGUAUUCUGCCUUUCAUGAAGGGACAUCUUCCCCACGAAAACAUGCCUCUCUCCAAGGACCUCCUCCACCCCUCCCCAGGAGAGGAGGAGAGGAAGCGGAAGAAGAAGUGCCUGACUACGUAACUGGCUCCAAAGAAGCAGAUUUAGGGGGUGCAAAGAGUCUGGCCCAUGGAGUCCUAUGUUGGGAGAGGCUUCUGGAACUGCGACAUGAAGAUGGAGGGCUCCACUCUGCCUUCGUGGCCUCUGUAACAACUAGAGGCAACUAUCCAUGGCUGUUUCCGCAGCCAUCAUAUGGUACCCACUUCACCAGUUGUUGUGACCUUGACAUUAGCUCAGUGGCAUGUAUGAACCAACCCUCAUGGAAGGAAUAUUAA